AACGAACGCUGGCGGCGUGCCUUACACAUGCAAGUCGAACGAGAACGAAAGCUUCGGUUUUCUAUUAAAGUGGCGCACGGGUGAGUAACACGUGGGUAACCUGCCCUGUACUGGGGGACAACAUCUGGAAACGGGUGCUAAAACCGCAUAAGACUACGAAUCAUAAGGUUAGUGGUAAAAUAUUUAUAGGUACUGGAUGGGCCCGCGGGCUAUUAGCUAGUAGGUGAGGUAAUGGCUCACCUAGGCGAUGAUGGCUAGCUGGUCUGAGAGGAUGAUCAGCCACACUGGAACUGAGACACGGUCCAG
This 306-nucleotide ribosomal RNA is filed under the name uncultured bacterium. RNAcentral's name for it is "bacterial SSU rRNA". It matches the Rfam family "Bacterial small subunit ribosomal RNA", at positions 29 to 334 of the family's 1533-position model. The record is from RNAcentral.